Molecule: ribosomal RNA, 891 nt
Filed under: uncultured fungus
Lineage: Eukaryota; Fungi
Description: eukaryotic LSU rRNA
Rfam family: Eukaryotic large subunit ribosomal RNA
Source: RNAcentral
CCCGCUGAACUUAAGCAUAUAAAUAAGCGGAGGAAAAGAAACCAAAAGGGAUUCCCUGAGUAAUGGCGAACGAAAGGGGAUGAGCUCAGCGCUAAGUCUCACCGUCUACUGGCGUGUGAGAGAUGCAGCGUGAAUGUAGCAGUGCAUCCCGUGUGUCGGACAGUGCAAGUUCCUUUGAAAAGGGCUUUUCCAGAGUGGGUGACAGGCCCAUAGCGCUGUUGUCUUGUACACACGGGCAAACUGUUGCAUACUAGAGUCAGGUUGCUUGAGAGUGCAGCCUAAAGUAGGUGGUAAACUUCACCUAAGGCUAAAUAUUACUGUGAGACCGAUAGCAAACAAGUACCGUGAGGGAAAGUUGCAAAGAACUUUGAAGAGAGAGUUCAAAAGGACGUGAAACCGUUAGUAGGUAAACAGGUGGAACCACGAAGUGUGCUUGGGGAAGAGGAUUCAACUGUCCCGAGUGAGGCAAUUGCUGUUGUGAUAUGUGGCUCUCUCGAGAGUGCAGGCAGCGGUGAUAUUACGUCUCUCUCAGGUGGUGCAUUUUCUCAUUCCUCCUGCGAUGCUAUGACUAGUUGGAUGGCUGAGGCGACCGUAUGCGAGAGUUGGUUGAAGGUGCCUGGCAGGAUGCUUGUCGUCUUGUCCAGUGUUAUAGCAACUACCUCGGCGUCUGCUUCGAGUGUACCGACUAGGAUAACUUCCCGCGUACGCGGGGUCUGCCAGAAAUGCGCGCUGCGUGUGUUAUGCUCGAGGUGAGUGCUGCUUGGGGGUUAGUUUUUAGCUUUUGUUGGAAACUGCUCUCUUGUAGUCCGCCUAUGCUGAGUGUAGCUCUCGUGGUGUGUGGCAAUCGAUAGCAAGUAGGUCGGUAUCCACCUGACCCGUCUUGAAACACGG